AUUAGCUNGNUGGUAGGGUAACGGCUUACCAAGGGGACGAUGUCUAGGGGUUUUGAGAGGAGAAUCCCCCCACACUGGUACUGAGACACGGACCAGAUUCCUACGGGAGGCAGCAGUAAGGAAUAUUGGUCAAUGGGCGGAAGCCUGAACCAGCCAUGCCGCGUGCAGGNNNNCUGCCCUNNNNNUUGUAAACUGCUUUUGUCCAGGAAUAAACCUAAAUACGUGUAGUUAGCUGAAUGUACUGGAAGAAUAAGGAUCGGCUAACUCCGUGCCAGCAGCCGCGGUAAUACGGAGGAUCCGAGCGUUAUCCGGAUUUAUUGGGUUUAAAGGGUGCGUAGGCGGCCUAUUAAGUCAGGGGUGAAAUACGGUGGCUCAACCAUCGCAGUGCCUUUGAUACUGAUGGGCUUGAAUCCAUUUGAAGUGGGCGGAAUAAGACAAGUAGCGGUGAAAUGCAUAGAUAUGUCUUAGAACUCCGAUUGCGAAGGCAGCUCACUAAGCUGGUAUUGACGCUGAUGCACGAAAGCGUGGGGAUCGAACAGGAUUAGAUACCCUGGUAGUCCACGCCCUAAACGAUGAUAACUCGAUGUUGGCGAUAGACAGCCAGCGUCCAAGCGAAAGCGUUAAGUUAUCCACCUGGGGAGUACGCCCGCAAGGGUGAAACUCAAAGGAAUUGACGGGGGCCCGCACAAGCGGAGGAGCAUGUGGUUUAAUUCGAUGAUACGCGAGGAACCUUACCCGGGCUUGAAAGUUAGUGAAGAAUGCAGAGACGCAUUCGUCCUUCGGGACACGAAACUAGGUGCUGCAUGGCUGUCGUCAGCUCGUGCCGUGAGGUGUUGGGUUAAGUCCCGCAACGAGCGCAACCCCUAUGUUUAGUUGCCAGCAUGUAAUGGUGGGGACUCUAAACAGACUGCCUGUGCAAACAGUGAGGAAGGUGGGGACGACGUCAAGUCAUCAUGGCCCUUACGUCCGGGGCUACACACGUGCUACAAUGGAUGGUACAGCGGGCAGCUACAUAGCAAUAUGAUGCUAAUCUCUAAAAGCCAUUCACAGUUCGGAUUGGGGUCUGCAACUCGACCCCAUGAA
This 1083-nucleotide ribosomal RNA is filed under the name Sphingobacterium sp. soB22. Its description in RNAcentral is "bacterial SSU rRNA". It matches the Rfam family "Bacterial small subunit ribosomal RNA", at positions 240 to 1324 of the family's 1533-position model. The record is from RNAcentral. Lineage: Bacteria; Pseudomonadati; Bacteroidota; Sphingobacteriia; Sphingobacteriales; Sphingobacteriaceae.